CUUGAAGGGGGGCCAAAUUGUUGCUCUGCGGGGCGUCUCCAGGUCAGCCUGCCGGUGACGCGGGGUGGGGAGGCUGCACAGCUACUCUGCAUCUGUGGGUCCCAGACCUUGGUGUGAGGAGGUGACAGCAGACAAUGCUCACCCACUCCACAGAGACCUCUCAGCCCUGGCACCACUUGCUAGCUGAAAACUUUCCUGCCCAUCUUUCCCUGCUCAGACACCUCGCCCUACUCUCCAGACAUUCUCCCGCGCUCUUCUUUGUCUCUCAAGGGAGUCCCUUUUACAAACACUUUCCUGUCUGGUCACGUAGGCCCUCAGAUUCUCCUUUCUAGUUUUCUAUUUCCACUUGAAAACUCCACCCUUCUCCUUUUCACGCUCUUUGAACAACCAACCCCUUGGAAAUGCCAUCUAAAGGGGUUUGGGUGUAAAGUGGGAAAAGGAGAUGCUGAGAGGACACUGGAGGUGUUGACUGAGGCACCUGACUGUAGUGAGUCACUGCAGACAGCAGCUCUGCCUCCCCUGCCAAGGUGGUGGUUAUGGCCUGGGGCAGGUAGUAGAGACCUAUGAUCCUGUAUCCUUUCGCCCUUGUGUUCUUCUCAUGCCCUGGCUCCUGGACUGUGCUGCAGCAACAGGACUUAAUAUAGGACACUAGAAAGGAGAAGUUUCUGAAAUAUUUGUGCGUGAUAAGGAAGCAAUGAGAGCCGAUGGUCCUGUCGUCUGCCCUGCUGUUCCUCCGAGGCCUCGGCCCAGCUCUUUCAGAAAUCUCCAGUUUUUACCCAUUCUUGAGAUAAAGAGAAGAAUUUCUGACAUAGAGAUGAUGUGGUAUCUUUGACCUACUGGCCAGAAAUAGGGAAGCCAAGAGGUGCUCUCUAGAGAUGGGAAACUGAAGAGGAAUGUGUUUGAGCAUGAGUCUUAGGUACAGUCAAGGGUCUCAACAGGAGACUGACUUAGAGCAUCAGUACACUACAUGGGCUGGGAGUCAGAAGACCUGGUGAUCACCCCUCUGGGAACACAGCAGAUUGCCAGAUCAUUCUUCCAAGGAGCCUCUGGUGGACUCAAACCUCCAACCUUUUGGUUAGCAGCCAAUUCUUCAGGAACAUUCCUGGGAUGAUGUGACCAAGGCUUGGUCACCAGAGGACAAAGGAUUAGAGCAGAACAGCCAGUCCACCAGUCUUCUCU
Molecule: long non-coding RNA, 1179 nt
Organism: Loxodonta africana (African savanna elephant)
Lineage: Eukaryota; Metazoa; Chordata; Mammalia; Proboscidea; Elephantidae
Exons: 3
Source: RefSeq, a predicted model, not a curated record